GUGGAUUAGAUACCCGGGUAGUCCACGCGGUAAACGAUGAAUGCUAGGUGUUGCGGGUAUCGACCCCUGCAGUGCCGGAGUAAACACAAUAAGCAUUCCGCCUGGGGAGUACGGCCGCAAGGUUGAAACUCAAAGGAAUUGACGGGGGCCCGCACAAGCAGCGGAGCAUGUUGUUUAAUUCGAAGCAACGCGAAGAACCUUACCAGGUCUUGACAUCCAAUUAAGCUCAUAGAGAUAUGAGGUCUCUUCGGAGGAAUUGAGACAGGUGGUGCAUGGCCGUCGACAGCU
RNAcentral lists this ribosomal RNA (288 nucleotides) under uncultured bacterium. Its description in RNAcentral is "partial 16S ribosomal RNA". It matches the Rfam family "Bacterial small subunit ribosomal RNA", at positions 773 to 1060 of the family's 1533-position model. The record is from RNAcentral.